GACGAACGCUGGCGGCGUGCUUAAAACAUGCAAGUCGAACGGACUUCUCAUGAAGCUUGCAAUUGAGAAGUUAGUGGCGGACGGGUGAGUAACGCGUGGGCAACCUGCCCCUGAGCCCGGGAUAACAGUUCGAAAGGACUGCUAAGACCGGAUAUACUUGCGGGGAAGCAUUUCUCUGUAAGGAAAGGGAACGCUCAGGGAUGGGCCCGCGUCCCAUUAGCUAGUUGGUGAGGUAACGGCCCACCAAGGCGACGAUGGGUAGCCGGCCUGAGAGGGUGAACGGCCACACUGGGACUGAGACACGGCCCAGACUCCUACGGGAGGCAGCAGUUGGGAAUCUUCGGCAAUGGGCGCAAGCCUGACCGAGCAACGCCGCGUGAGUGAUGAAGGUUUUCGGAUUGUAAAGCUCUGUCUUCCGGGACGAUAAAUGACGGUACCGGAGGAGGAAGCCACGGCUAACUACGUG
RNAcentral lists this ribosomal RNA (466 nucleotides) under uncultured bacterium. RNAcentral describes it as "bacterial SSU rRNA". It matches the Rfam family "Bacterial small subunit ribosomal RNA", at positions 28 to 507 of the family's 1533-position model. The record is from RNAcentral.